RNAcentral lists this ribosomal RNA (503 nucleotides) under uncultured bacterium. RNAcentral describes it as "partial 16S ribosomal RNA". It matches the Rfam family "Bacterial small subunit ribosomal RNA", at positions 30 to 523 of the family's 1533-position model. The record is from RNAcentral.
AUUGAACGCUGGCGGCAGGCUUAACACAUGCAAGUCGAGCGGGGUGAUGGUGCUUGCACUAUCACUUAGCGGCGGACGGGUGAGUAAUGCUUAGGAAUCUGCCUAUUAGUGGGGGACAACAUCUCGAAAGGGAUGCUAAUAACGCAUACGUCCUACGGGAGAAAGCAGGGGAUCACUUGUGACCUUGGGCUAAUAGAUGAGCCUAAGUCGGAUUAGCUGGUUGGUGGGGGAAAGGCCUACCAAGGCGACGAUCUGUAGCGGGUCUGAGAGGAUGAUCCGCCACACUGGGACUGGGACACGGCCCAGACUCCUACGGGAGGCAGCAGUGGGGAAUAUUGGACAAUGGGGGGAACCCUGAUCCAGCCAUGCCGCGUGUGUGAAGAAGGCCUUAUGGUUGUAAAGCACUUUAAGCGAGGAGGAGGCUCUUUUGGUUAAUACCCAAGAUGAGUGGACGUUACUCGCAGAAUAAGCACCGGCUAACUCUGUGCCAGCAGCCGCCGUAA